GAUGAACGCUAGCGGCAGGCCUAAUACAUGCAAGUCGGACGGGAUUCAGGAGCUUGCCUCUGAUGAGAGUGGCGCACGGGUGCGUAACACGUAUGUAACCUACCUUUAUCAGGGGGAUAGCCUCUCGAAAGAGAGAUUAAGCCCGCAUAAAAUCACAGCACAGCAUUGUGUAAUGAUCAAAUAUUUAUAGGAUAAAGAUGGGCAUGCGGAACAUUAGCUAGAUGGCGGGGUAACGGCCCACCAUGGCGACGAUGUUUAGGGGAUCUGAGAGGAUGGCCCCCCACACUGGUACUGAGACACGGACCAGACUCCUACGGGAGGCAGCAGUAAGGAAUAUUGGUCAAUGGGCGGAAGCCUGAACCAGCCAUGCCGCGUGCAGGAAGACGGCCCUACGGGUUGUAAACUGCUUUUAUACGGGAAUAAACCCAGAUACGUGUAUCUGGCUGAAUGUACUGUAAGAAUAAGGAUCGGCUAACUCCGUG
Molecule: ribosomal RNA, 482 nt
Filed under: uncultured bacterium
Lineage: Bacteria
Description: partial 16S ribosomal RNA
Rfam family: Bacterial small subunit ribosomal RNA
Source: RNAcentral